This 246-nucleotide ribosomal RNA is filed under the name uncultured bacterium. Its description in RNAcentral is "partial 16S ribosomal RNA". It matches the Rfam family "Bacterial small subunit ribosomal RNA", at positions 531 to 776 of the family's 1533-position model. The record is from RNAcentral.
CGAGCGAACGUUGUUCGGAAUCAUUGGGCUUAAAGGGCGCGUAGGCGGGCUGUCAAGUCUGGGGUGAAAUCCCGCGGCUCAACCGUGGAACUGCCUCAGAUACUGACGGUCUCGAGGGAGGUAGGGGCGAGCGGAACUGAUGGUGGAGCGGUGAAAUGCGUUGAUAUCAUCAGGAACUCCGGUGGCGAAGGCGGCUCGCUGGACCUCUUCUGACGCUGAGGCGCGAAAGCCAGGGGAGCAAACGGG